GUUUGGGGAGGGGCCAGCUUUAGGCCUAUUCCCCCGAAUCAGGCCCUGCACCUUAAAGAAGAGCGCCUAGCUUAGGCGCCUUUAUAAUUUUUACUCACUCGGCGGCGCUCCAGCGGCGGGUCCUUCA
Non-coding RNA from Chelonoidis abingdonii (Abingdon island giant tortoise), 127 nucleotides. The record is from RefSeq and is a predicted model, not a curated record. Lineage: Eukaryota; Metazoa; Chordata; Testudines; Testudinidae.